CUAUGCGCCUUGCCAGCCCGCUCAGUCAGAGUUUGAUCCUGGCUCAGGAUGAAUGCUGGCGGCGUGCCUAAUACAUGCAAGUCGAGCGGCAGCGCGAGUAGUUUACUACUUGGCGGCGAGCGGCGAACGGCUGAGUAACGCGUGGGAACAUGCCCCAAAGUGAGGAAUAACUGCCCGAAAGGGUAGCUAAUGCCGCAUAUGCUCUUAGGAGUAAAGUCUUCGGACGCUUUGGGAGUGGCCCGCGUAUGAUUAGUUUGUUGGUGAGGUAAUGGCUCACCAAGACUACGAUCAUUAGCUGGUCUGAGAGGAUGAUCAGCCAGACUGGAACUGAGACACGGUCCAG
This 343-nucleotide ribosomal RNA is filed under the name uncultured bacterium. Its description in RNAcentral is "bacterial SSU rRNA". It matches the Rfam family "Bacterial small subunit ribosomal RNA", at positions 1 to 334 of the family's 1533-position model. The record is from RNAcentral.